This 279-nucleotide ribosomal RNA is filed under the name uncultured bacterium. RNAcentral describes it as "partial 16S ribosomal RNA". It matches the Rfam family "Bacterial small subunit ribosomal RNA", at positions 506 to 784 of the family's 1533-position model. The record is from RNAcentral.
UGCCAGCCGCCGCGGUAAUACGUAGGGAGCGAGCGUUAUCCGGAAUUAUUGGGCGUAAAGCGUGCGUAGGCGGUUCGUUAAGUCAAAUCUGAAAGCCCACCGCUUAACUGUGGAGGGUGAUUUGAAACUGGCGAGCUUGAGUACGGCAGAGGUUAGUGGAAUUCAAUGCGUAGCGGUGGAAUGCGUAGAUAUAUUGAGGAACACCAGUGGCGAAGGCGGCUAGCUGGACCUUAUCUGACGCUGAUGCGCGAAAGCAUGGGUAGCAAACGGGAUUAGAUA